GGCGACGUAGCUCAGCUGGUAGAGCAUUUGUCCUGCAUACAUAAUACCCUGAGUUUGAUCCCCAGCUCCCCA
Molecule: transfer RNA, 72 nt
Filed under: Neotoma lepida (desert woodrat)
Lineage: Eukaryota; Metazoa; Chordata; Mammalia; Rodentia; Cricetidae
Rfam family: tRNA
About the family: Transfer RNA (tRNA) molecules are approximately 80 nucleotides in length. Their secondary structure includes four short double-helical elements and three loops (D, anti-codon, and T loops).
Source: Rfam by way of RNAcentral